Molecule: small RNA, 412 nt
Filed under: Pongo abelii (Sumatran orangutan)
Lineage: Eukaryota; Metazoa; Chordata; Mammalia; Primates; Hominidae
Description: processed transcript
Source: RNAcentral
UCCAUUCCAAUCACCAAUAAAGAGAUUAUAAAAGGAAUUAAGAUCCUGCAAAAUGCAAUAAUACAACAAGAUGAGCGACUGGCCAAAGCAAUGGUCAGUGAUGGUUCCUUUCAUAUUACCCUGCUGGUGAUGCAAUUAUUAAAUGAAGAUGAAGUAAACAUUGGUAUUGAUGCUCUUUUGGAAUUGAAACCAUUCAUAGAAGAACUCCUCCAAGGAAAACAUUUGACUUUGCCCUUUCAAGGGAUUGGCACUUUUGGAAAUCAGGUUGGAUUUGUGAAGCUGGCAGAAGGAGAUCAUGUAAACUCACUUUUGGAGAUCGCAGGGAGUGAAAAAAAUAGAUCCUGAUUUAUAUGAAAAGUUUAUCAGUCACAGAUUUGGAGAAGAAAUAUUAUAUCGCAUAGAUCUUUGCUCC